UACAUGGGGUGCAAACGUUGCUCGGAAUUAUUGGGCGUAAAGCGCACGUAGGCGGUUCGUUAAGUCGGAUGUGAAAGCCCUCGGCUCAACUGAGGAAGUGCACCCGAAACUGGCGAGCUUGAGUACGAAAGAGGAUCGCGGAAUUCCCGGUGUAGAGGUGAAAUUCGUAGAUAUUCGGAAGAACACCAGUGGCGAAGGCGACUUACUGGACACAUAUUGACGCUGAGGUGCGAAAGCGUGGGGAGCAAACAGG
This 253-nucleotide ribosomal RNA is filed under the name uncultured bacterium. RNAcentral's name for it is "partial 16S ribosomal RNA". It matches the Rfam family "Bacterial small subunit ribosomal RNA", at positions 524 to 776 of the family's 1533-position model. The record is from RNAcentral.